This is a non-coding RNA of Sus scrofa (pig), 1951 nucleotides long. The record is from RefSeq and is a predicted model, not a curated record. NCBI's taxonomy places the organism in Eukaryota, Metazoa, Chordata, Mammalia, Artiodactyla, Suidae.
ACAGCACCGAGCUGGGGCGACAGGACCCCUCGUAGGUGGGUGAGGGAUGGGGCCUGAGCCUGGGUGUGGGUGCCCACCAGCAGGGGGCCAAAGACACACGCCUGCGCAGUUUCCUGGCUGGGGGCUGCUCUCAUUCUCAGGAAUCCUCUCGAGGGCAGCCGCUCUUUAUUUUAACCCCCCCCCCCCAAGAAAAGAAGUUCCCCAGUCCAGGACUGACAUCCCAUCAGGCAGACUAGUAAUGUCUCCACCACGUUCCAUUCUGCCCGGUACCCCAGGGGCGGGGGAGAACCAGGGCUGGCGGUCAACCCCUGGCACCAGCAGCCUCUACAAGGCCCAGCCCCUGAGCUGGUGCGGGCAGAGUGGAGCCCAAAGGGAGCACGGCUGCUAGAUUUUGCUCCCAAAGCACAGAGCUUGGGGUGGGGGAGGGAGGGAUCCCGGGUGCCCCCAGCCUGCGCUGCAUGCCUCCCUCGGGACCUCCGCCCAUCCCUGGGUCCCAGCCGGCCUGGGCUCUUCCCAGCCCAGCCGCGUGGCUGCCAGCCAGAGGACUGGCCGUUGGUGGGAGCUUUUCAAAACCCCUGACCCUGAGUGCCCGGCACUGCCAGGGGACACCCGCUCCUGUGUUCUAGACACUGAGAGGGUGGAGUUGAGAGCUUGUUUGCCCACUCAUCAGGCCACAGGCAUGUGGGCUCCGGGCCACAUUUCUGGGGCCCUGGAGGGUCUUUGUGUCUCCCUGUGUCUCCUCCGCUUUUCCUCCCCUGCCUCCUGGUCGGCUGAAGAGCAGACCCUGCCUGAGACACGGAAGUGCCCGUUUUGUGAGUCCCCAUCACCUCUGAAUGUUUCUUCAGCUAAUUUACAGUGCUCCGUCAAUUUUCUGCUGCACAGCACGGUGACCCAGUCACACAUACAGUGCUGCUUUGCUUUGCAGAAGCAUUUUAAUGAAGACAUCUUGACGUUUCCCCCAUAAACACUGCAGCGAAUAAGGACCCGGACAGUCUCCUGUCUGAACAAGUGCCACCGUCACAUCCAAGACUUCCUGUCACUUCAAUAACAUCGUCUAAGAGUCGGUCCGUAUUCAAAUCUCCCUGGUUGUCCUCAGAAUGUCCUUUCCGGCUCCUUUUUGUUUUGAUCUGGGAUCCAGCUGGGGAUCACAGGUGGCAGCUGGUUUGUCAUCUGCCUGCUUCAUCUCUUUGAAGUUAGAACCAGCUCUGGUCUUUCUUGCUUCUGUGACCAGCAUUGACAUUUUCUGCCAAGUCGGGGCCAGUGGAAUCGAUUCCAUAGCCUGUAAUGUCUGGUUGUUUCCUCACAUUUGGGGCAGGAGGGGUGAUGCUGCCAGGUACUCCUCAGAGCAUCACCCAAGGAGUCCCACAGUGUCGGUUUGUCCUGUUGUUGGCGAUGCGGAGUUUGCGUAGUGGGUUCGAGCCGUGUCUGCUGGACCUCCUCACUGUGCUACCUUCCCCCUUUCACUGAUAGGUAGCCUGAGACCGUGUAAGUAUCUGGUUCUCCAGCGGCUUUUCACACGAUAGUUUUAGCCUCUGUUGAUGCCUCUCACCUCAUGAAUUACCCCGGUGGCUGUGAAAUGGUGAUUUUUCUAUCCUUGCUUCUAGAGUGUUGUUCUGUAAAUAUCUUUUCUUGGCCCCUUUUCUGAGUGUCACUGUGGACUCAUGGAUUCUUUUCUUUCCAGUGUGUGAUAAUUCAUUACCAAUGUUAUUCUUCUUGAGGCACGAGAUCUUUUUGUUUUGUUUUUAAUGCAACACUCUAAAAUUUUGAUCCUUAUUACUUAUUAAUAAGUAAUCAUUAAUACAUAUAUUUAAUGUAUUAAUUAUGUCAUACCUGUCUUAUUUCUGAUUAUAUUUAUAACUUUUCAGUAGUUAGGAACUUAUUUUCCAUUUCUAGUAAGAAUAAAUAUGCUGGAGUUCCCGUCCUGAACUGAGGUGGGUCCCUGCCCUCUGCC